GUGGGGAAUCUUCCGCAAUGGACGAAAGUCUGACGGAGCAACGCCGCGUGAGUGAUGACGGCCUUCGGGUUGUAAAACUCUGUUAUACGGGACGAAUGGACGAGAGGCCAAUACCCUUUCGGAGUGACGGUACCGUAAGAGAAAGCCACGGCUAACUACGUGCCAGCAGCCGCGGUAAUACGUAGGUGGCAAGCGUUGUCCGGAAUUAUUGGGCGUAAAGGGCGCGCAGGUGGUUUCUUAAGUCUGUCUUAAAAGUGCGGGGCUUAACCCCGUGAGGGGACGGAAACUGGGAGACUAGAGUAUCGGAGAGGAAAGCGGAAUUCCUAGUGUAGCGGUGAAAUGCGUAGAUAUUAGGAGGAACACCAGUGGCGAAAGCGGCUUUCUGGACGACAACUGACACUGAGGCGCGAAAGCCAGGGGAGCAAACGGGAUUAGAAACCCUGGUAGUCC
This 450-nucleotide ribosomal RNA is filed under the name uncultured bacterium. RNAcentral's name for it is "partial 16S ribosomal RNA". It matches the Rfam family "Bacterial small subunit ribosomal RNA", at positions 354 to 796 of the family's 1533-position model. The record is from RNAcentral.